UAAUACGUAGGGUGCGAGCGUUAAUCGGAAUUACUGGGCGUAAAGCGUGCGCAGGCGGCUUUGUAAGACAGGUGUGAAAUCCCCGGGCUUAACCUGGGAACUGCGCUUGUGACUGCAAGGCUCGAGUGCGGCAGAGGGGGGUGGAAUUCCACGUGUAGCAGUGAAAUGCGUAGAGAUGUGGAGGAACACCGAUGGCGAAGGCAGCCCCCUGGGUCGACACUGACGCUCAUGCACGAAAGCGUGGGUAGCAAACAGG
This 256-nucleotide ribosomal RNA is filed under the name uncultured bacterium. Its description in RNAcentral is "partial 16S ribosomal RNA". It matches the Rfam family "Bacterial small subunit ribosomal RNA", at positions 521 to 776 of the family's 1533-position model. The record is from RNAcentral.